GAUGAACGCUGGCGGCGUGCUUAACACAUGCAAGUCGAACGAAGCAUUUAGGACAGAUUACUUCGGUUUGAAGUUCUUUAUGACUGAGUGGCGGACGGGUGAGUAACGCGUGGGUAACCUGCCUUGUACUGGGGGAUAGCAGCUGGAAACGGCUGGUAAUACCGCAUAAGCGCACAAUGUUGCAUGACAUGGUGUGAAAAACUCCGGUGGUAUAAGAUGGACCCGCGUCUGAUUAGCUAGUUGGUGAGAUAACAGCCCACCAAGGCGACGAUCAGUAGCCGACCUGAGAGGGUGACCGGCCACAUUGGGACUGAGACACGGCCCAGACUACUACGGGAGGCAGCAGUGGGGAAUAUUGCACAAUGGAGGAAACUCUGAUGCAGCGACGCCGCGUGAGUGAAGAAGUAAUUCGUUAUGUAAAGCUCUAUCAGCAGGGAAGAUAGUGACGGUACCUGACGAAGAAGCUCCGGCUAAAUACGUG
This 481-nucleotide ribosomal RNA is filed under the name uncultured bacterium. Its description in RNAcentral is "partial 16S ribosomal RNA". It matches the Rfam family "Bacterial small subunit ribosomal RNA", at positions 28 to 507 of the family's 1533-position model. The record is from RNAcentral.